AAAAAAUCUCCGAGUCUUGCAGCCUAAAACGGAAGUCAUGGCUGUAAGACCGGGGUGCAGCCGGAAACGUCUGCGCCUUCCGUUUUUGAAAAGGAGUAAAAUAUGAA
This 107-nucleotide non-coding RNA is filed under the name pig gut metagenome. Its description in RNAcentral is "Moco (molybdenum cofactor) riboswitch". It matches the Rfam family "Molybdenum/Tungsten riboswitch aptamer (Moco RNA motif)", at positions 7 to 125 of the family's 135-position model. The record is from RNAcentral.